RNAcentral lists this ribosomal RNA (468 nucleotides) under uncultured bacterium. RNAcentral's name for it is "partial 16S ribosomal RNA". It matches the Rfam family "Bacterial small subunit ribosomal RNA", at positions 28 to 507 of the family's 1533-position model. The record is from RNAcentral.
GACGAACGCUGGCGGCGUGCUUAACACAUGCAAGUCGAACGGAAAGGCCCUGCUUUUGUGGGGUGCUCGAGUGGCGAACGGGUGAGUAACACGUGAGUAACCUGCCCUUGACUUUGGGAUAACUUCAGGAAACUGGGGCUAAUACCGGAUAGGAGCUCCUGCUGCAUGGUGGGGGUUGGAAAGUUUCGGCGGUUGGGGAUGGACUCGCGGCUUAUCAGCUUGUUGGUGGGGUAGUGGCUUACCAAGGCUUUGACGGGUAGCCGGCCUGAGAGGGUGACCGGCAAAAUUGGGACUAAGAUACGGCCCAGACUCCUACGGGAGGCAGCAGUGGGGAAUGGUGCACAAUGGGCGGAAGCCUGAUGCAGCAACGCCGCGUGCGGGAUGACGGCCUUCGGGUUGUAAACCGCUUUCGCCUGUGACGAAGCGUGAGUGACGGUAAUGGAUAAAGAAGCACCGGCUAACUACGUG